UCCGGCUUGUCACCGGCAGUUUCUCCAGAGUGCCCGGCCCUACCCGCUGGCAACUGAAGAUGGGGGUUGCGCUCGUUGCGGGACUUAACCCAACAUCUCACGACACGAGCUGACGACAGCCACGCAGCACCUGUGUGGGAGCCAGCCGAACUGAAGGACCGCAUCUCUGCGGCCCACACUCCCCAUGUCAAGGGCUGGUAAGGUUCUUCGCGUUGCGUCGAAUUAAACCACAUGCUCCACCGCUUGUGCGGGCCCCCGUCAAUUCCUUUGAGUUUUAACCUUGCGGCCGUACUCCCCAGGCGGUGUGCUUACCGCGUUAGCUGCGACACCGAAGAGCUAGGCUCCCCAACGUCUAGCACACAUCGUUUACGGCGUGGACUAC
This 382-nucleotide unclassified non-coding RNA is filed under the name uncultured Alphaproteobacteria bacterium. Its description in RNAcentral is "contains 16S-23S intergenic spacer region". Lineage: Bacteria; Pseudomonadati; Pseudomonadota; Alphaproteobacteria. The record is from RNAcentral.